RNAcentral lists this ribosomal RNA (497 nucleotides) under uncultured bacterium. Its description in RNAcentral is "partial 16S ribosomal RNA". It matches the Rfam family "Bacterial small subunit ribosomal RNA", at positions 28 to 507 of the family's 1533-position model. The record is from RNAcentral.
GAUGAACGCUGGCGGCGUGCCUAAUACAUGCAAGUCGAGCGAACGGACGAGAAGCUUGCUUCUCUGAUGUUAGCGGCGGACGGGUGAGUAACACGUGGAUAACCUACCUAUAAGACUGGGAUAACUUCGGGAAACCGUAGCUAAUACCGGAUAAUAUUUUGAACCGCAUGGUUCAAAAGUGAAAGACGGUCUUGCUGUCACUUAUAGAUGGAUCCGCGCUGCAUUAGCUAGUUGGUAAGGUAACGGCUUACCAAGGCAACGAUGCAUAGCCGACCUGAGAGGAUGAUCAGCCACACUGGAACUGAGACACGGUCCAGACUCCUACGGGAGGCAGCAGUAGGGAAUAUUCCGCAAUGGGCGAAAGCCUGACGGAGCAACGCCGCGUGAGUGAUGAAGGUCUUCGGAUCGUAAAACUCUGUUAUUAGGGAAGAACAUAUGUGUAAGUAACUGUGCACAUCUUGACGGUACCUAAUCAGAAAGCCACGGCUAACUACGUG